AUACGAAGGGGGCUAGCGUUGUUCGGAAUUACUGGGCGUAAAGCGCAUGUAGGCGGACAUUUAAGUCAGGGGUGAAAUCCCCCCCGGGGCUCAACCUCGGAACUGCCUUUGAUACUGGGUGUCUAGAGUGUGGAAGAGGUAAGUGGAAUUCCGAGUGUAGAGGUGAAAUUCGUAGAUAUUCGGAGGAACACCAGUGGCGAAGGCGGCUUACUGGUCCAUUACUGACGCUGAGGUGCGAAAGCGUGGGGAGC
RNAcentral lists this ribosomal RNA (251 nucleotides) under uncultured bacterium. RNAcentral describes it as "partial 16S ribosomal RNA". It matches the Rfam family "Bacterial small subunit ribosomal RNA", at positions 523 to 769 of the family's 1533-position model. The record is from RNAcentral.